AACCUCUUCAACCUUGGUAUAAGCGGUAAAUAAUGCAUUGAAUUAAUAGCAAUUUUAUUUCCAGUAGAACCACGCUUAUAUCGAGAGUGCUAACAAAACUUACAGAACUCUAGCUUAGCAUCUUUCUUAAAGUAUAACAUGCAGCCAUUUUCACAACAAUCAAUUCUAACCGAGGAGAGACCUAACUUUGACACCAAUCUUUUUUCCUUAUAGAAAGAAUCAGAAACCUCCAAGCCGGGGUCAACUAACAGCAUGCAAUCUUUGUAGAAAUUGCCCGCUUCGCUAUUAGGAACAUCUUCAACAUAUUUCCUAAACUCAACCCCAUGUUGCAUCCCAAAAGCAUCGUGCACCAUUUCUGUCACCCUAGUGUCUUGAUAUUCAUUAUGCCCUACAGACCUACUACUUUCUCCAAUAAUGAAGUUAUUUUGCGCAACAUCCCCAGGAAAUGCCACGCAAUCUUAAAAAGUCCUCGUAAAACCCCUUUUUAUAAAGAUGUUCCUUUACAUCAUCUUCGCUUACAAGAUUUAUCCCAUCACAUCUAACACAAGGACAAUGAAUAACUCGAUCACGUGUCCACAUAUCAAGUGUCUUAGCAUGUUCAACAAAUCUUUUGACACCUUCAAUAAAUUCCUCCCUAAUACCCAUUCUAUGAUAAUUAUUCCGUUGAUAUAUCCAGCUAUAAUCAGGUUCCAUCUACACGAUCAAUCAGAUUCAACUAAUUAUACCAAGUCACAAAAAUUUAAUCAUUUUCAAGCAACUAAGUCACCUACCAAACCACAUUCAAAACAAAAAAUUUUCCUUUAAAGUUCCUACACUUAACUAUUUUCAACCAACUAAGUCACCUACCAAACCACAUUCACAACAAAAAAAUUCUCUUUAAAGUUCCUACACUUAAUCAUUUUCAAGCAACUAAGUCAUCAACCAAACCACAUUCAAAACAAAAAUAUUUCCUUUAAAGUUCCUUCACUUAACCAUUUUCAAACAACUAAGUCACCUACCAAACCACAUUCAAAACAAAAAAUUUUCCUUUAAAGUUCCUACACUUAACCAUUUUCAAGUAACUAAGUCACCAACCAAACCACAUUCAAAACAAAAAUAUUUCCUUUAAAGUUCCUACACUCAACCAUUUUCAAACAACUAAGUCACCUACCAAACCACAUUCACAACAAAAAAAUUCUCUUUAAAGUUCCUACACUUAAUCAUUUUCAAGCAACUAAGUCAUCAACCAAACCACAUUCAAAACAAAAAAAUCCCUUUAAAGUUCCUAGACUUAACCAUUUUCAAGCAACUAAGUCACCAACCAAACCACAUUCAAAACAAAAAAAUUUCCUUUAAAGUUCCUACACUUAACCAUUUUCAAGUAACUAAGUCACCAACCAAACCACAUUCAAAACAAAAAAAAUCUCUUUAAAGUUCCUACACUUAACUAUUUUCAAGCAAUUAAGUCACCUAACAAACCACAUUCAAAACAAAAAAAAAUCCUUUAAAGUUCCUACACUUAACCAUUUUCAAGAAACUAAGUCACUAACCAAACCACAUUCAAAACAAAAAAUCUCCUUUAAAAUUCCUAGACUUAACCAUUUUCAAGCAACUAAGUCACCUACCAAACCACAUUCAAAACAAAAAAAUUCCCUUUAAAGUUCCUACACUUAACCAUUUUCAAGUAACUAAGUCACCAACCAAACCACAUUUAAAACAAAAAAUUUCCUUUAAAGUUCCUACACUUAACCAUUUUCAAGCAACUAAGUCACCUACCUAACCACAUUCAAAACAAAAAAAAUUUCUUUAAAGAUUCUACACUUAACCAUUUUCAAGCAACUAACUCACCUACCAAACCAUAUUCAAAACAAAAAAAAUCCCUUUAAAGUUCCUAGACUUAACCAUUUUCAAGCAACUAAGUCGUCAACCAAACCACAUUCAAAACGAAAAAUCCCCUUUAAAGUUCCUACACUUAAUCGUUUUCAAGCAACAAAGUUACCAACUCAACCACAUUCAAAAUAAAAAAUCCCCUUUAAAGUCCCUACACUGAACCAUUUUCAAAUGACUAUGUCGCCAAAAAAACAACAAUAAGACCGACAAGAUGUCAACAAUAAUGCUAGUGAAUCGAACAAGGCCACACACGGCUUCACUAGACUUCAAUAUGAACAAUAACGAGAAGACAACAACAAUGCUAGUUAAUCGAAUAAGGCCACACAUGGAUUCACUAGACUUCAAAAUGUACAGUAACAAGACUUAAUUAUAAGAAAAUAAAGACAAAUCAACUUACCUAAACUUGGCGUAAAUUAAAGUGAAAGAGACAAGCGGUCACCCAAAAAAAUAGCAAAGCAAUCUUUUUAUCAAAUUCAAAAUCUGUCAAAUAGAAAAAUUAUUACAAAGAAUACUCUUUCGCUUAAAUAAUUACAAUAACUUAGUAAAGGAAUAGGAAUAAGAUUUUUCCCCAAACCUACUAAACAAUUAAUAAGUAAAAUGGAGAAAUAAGUGUCAAGACUAACCAAUUAGGUAAUUCAAAAUCAAAUUAAUGUUGGAACAAGCCAAGAAUUAGCUAAUUCACAUCUCAAAUUCCAAAAAUUAGCUAAAACCAAGCUAAAUAAAAUAAAUAUCCAAACCCUAGAACUCAAACCACAACCAUUUGACGAAAUUAAGACUAAGAUAUUUGUAUGUAGACGUUUAACAUUUCUAGAUAUUAAAAAACGAGUUUGUGGAUAUAAGAAUAAGCUAAAUUUAUUUAAUGAAAGUUAAUUGUUACCUUGCCAAAAAUUGAAACUUAGGAUGGAAUAGUUCCUUGAAAAUGGAUUAAAGCCAAAAUUGAAAGUUAGGAUGGAGUACAAACUUUCUUGAAAGAGAAAGAACAAUGGAGACUAGGUGUUUAUUGUUAAAGUGUGAGAUUUGGAGGUUUUGGGGGGUUGGUGACUGUUUUGGACGGGAAAUGAGUAAGGUUUUAGAGUGAUUUUGUGUUUUAUUAUGUAUUACGGGUCGGGUCGGGUUAAAGAAUUAUAUUAUUUUUUUCAAUUAUUACGAAAACCGACCACAUGUGGUCGGUUUUUGUAAUAAUUAAAAAAAUUAUUUUUGAAAUUAAAAUUUAAUUAAUAAAUUAUAAAAAUAAGUUAAUAAAUUAAAAUAAUUUUUUAACAAAUUAAAAUUUUAAUAAAUUCAAUAAUAUUUAUAACAACAUUCAAUUAAUUUAAUACAAUUCGUAUACAUAUAAAUACACAGUACAUACACUGUGUAUGGUACCGGGACAACAUCCAAUUAAUUUAAUACAAUUCGUACAUAUAUAAAUCAGAUAAUAGUUAUUUUAUCAUCACAUUAACACGAGUAGUAUAUUUCCUCAAUUGUAUAAUAAUAUCAAUGAUUUUUUCAAAUUACGAUAAAUUUUUGGUUAAUUAGCUUUUAAACAGGAUAUAUAUAAAUAUAUAUACCUCGUAAUACUAGUCUUACGUUAUUACAACUUCAACAACAUACGCGUGUCAACAUUGACCCAAAAUAGUAUAUCUAUUUCCUCAAUAGUAUAAUAUAUAUCAACGUCUCAUUCAAAUUAUACUGAUAUAUACAUUUAGUUAUCUAGCUUUCGAUUACUACAUAUGUCACUACACAAGAUAUACGUAUAUAUACAUAUAUUCAAUUGUCUAUCAACUUUCACAUACGUACUAUAAAUAUCACAUACACGAUUAUACUACCCCAUAAUACUAUAUAUACAGCGUAUUUCACAAAGACUCAGAUGAAUUAUAGAUUACAUUAUCUUAAGUAUGUCAUUAGUAUACCUUCACCGUAUAAUAUGUAUAUACUAUCUAUAUAUAUAUACACACAUACACACAUACACAUAUAUACACACUAUCGACUUAAUCAAAUUCUAAAUACGUACUAUAUAUAUCACAUAUGCACACAAGUAUAUUAUCCAAUAAUAUAAUGCAAUGUGUUUCUUAUACAUACUCAGACGAGUGAUCGAUUAAUUAUUUAUAUAUAUAUAUACAUCAUUAUGACCAAAAUAGUAACAUAAGAUCAUUAUCUCAAUGGUAUGAUAUAUAUGUGUGUAUAUAUAUACCCACACAUAUUCAUUAUACAAAGAUUAUGCAUGUUUAACAUCAUUUAAUGUAUAUACAAGAAAAAUAUUUAUUCCAUGUACUGAAACAUAAGUAAAAGAUAUUUAUUAUGUUUAACGUAAUUUUUUUUUAUUUUAUUUGAUAUAUUUUUUAGUGUAAUUUUUUUCACAAAAUUUAAGAAUGAUUGAUUUUUAUUAUUAUUAUACUGGUUAUCGACUACGUGUGAUCAGUGUAAUUUUAAAAAUUUAUAUAUAAAUUACAUUACAUAUAUAAUUAUAUUUAAUGAAAAAAUAUAUAUAUAUAUUUGAUUACAUAUAUAUAUAAUUAUUGGUUACUAAAAAUUAUUUACUUUUUAAUUUUUCUCUAUGGCUUGGUGAACUAAGUUAAGACCAAACAAUCUAGUUUCACCUGCCUCAAACCACCUAAUAGGAGACCUAUACCUCCUACCAUAAAGAGCCUCAAAAAGAGCCAUUUGGUGCUAGAAUGAUAAUUAUUAUUGUAAGCAAACUCAACAAAAGGUAAAUGGUCAACCCAACUAUCUUUAAAGUCAAUCAUGCAGGCCCUUAGCGUAUCCUCCAAAGUCUGAUAGUGUGUUUCGCUCGUCCAUCCAUUUGAAGGAGGAAAGUGGUCCUAAGGUUUACCUGAGUACCAAAACCUUUUUGAAACCUACACCAGAAAUGAGAUGAAAACUGCAUACCUCGAUCUAAAAUAAUGGACACCAGCACUCCAUGCAACUUAACAAUCUUUUGAAUGAACAACUUAGCAUAAUCCUCUCCCGAGUAAUUAAUUCUCACAGGCAAGAAGUGAGUAGACUUAGUCAUCUUAUCCAUAAUGACCUAAAUAGAAUCAUACUGGCUAUGAGACUAUGUAAGACCAGUAAUAAAAUCCAUAUUAAUUAUCUCCCACUUUCAUAUAGGCAACUCUAUCUCUUGAGACAUACCACCAGGCCUCAAAUGCUCAACCUUGACUUGCUAACAAACCAUACACUUAGCCAUAAAGUUUGCCACAUUCCUCUGCAUAUUAUUCCACCAGUAGAUUUUUUUCAAGUCAUGAUACAUCUUAGUCGAACCCGAAUGAACUGUAUAUAUAGACUCAUGAGCCUCAACCAAAAUUCUUUCCUAUAACUCAUCAAUAUCAGGAACGCACAACUUUCUUUGAUACCUCAACAUACUAUCUACCCUAAUCUCGAAAGCCAUAACCUUUUACUGACCCACAUCAUCAAUAAUCUACAUAAGUAUGGGAUCCAAAGCCUGCUUCUCCUUUACCUCAGGACCAAAAAAUGAUUUUAACCAACUUUCUGAGCAAUCUUUCCUCCAUCCUCAGAGUCCAAAAGACGAACCCCUAAGUUAGCCAGCCUAUGAAUAUCCUUCACCAAUCCAAUUUUCUCCUCAUCAACAUAAGACAAGCUCCCCAUAGACAACCUGCUAAGAGCAUCAAUAAUAACAUUAGAUUUAACUCGAUGGUAGUGAAGGCUCAUGUCAAAAUCCUUAAGCAGUUUGAGCCACCGCCCCUACCUAAGAUUCAAUUCCUUCUACGUAAACACAUAUUGCAAGAUCUUAUGGUCUAAAUAGAUAUCUAUAUGUACUCCGUACAGAUAAUGGUGCUAGAUUUUCAAAGCAAAGACCAUAACCGCCAACUCUAGAUCAUGAGUUAGAUGAUUCUUCUCAUGAAACUUAAGCUGCCUGGAAGUAUAGGCUACAACAUUACCAUGUUAAAUCAAAAUACAAUCCAAUCCCACACGUGACACAUCACAAUACCCCACAAACCCAUCAGUACCCUUGACUAGGGUCAAAACUGGCGCAUGAGUCAACUUAUCCUUUAAAUUUUGAAAACUACCCUCACAAGCAUCGAAUUAUAAAAAUUUAACCUUCUUCUAAGUUAAGUUCAUCAGUAGAGUAGAAAAAGAUGAGAAACUCUCUACAAGCCUCCUAUAAUACCCAGCCAAGCCCAAGAAACUCCUAGUAUCGAUUGGAGUUAUGGGUCUAGGCCAUUUCUUAACUGACUCAACUUUUAGUGGAUCCACCUUGAUCCCCUCACUAGAAACAACAUGUCCAAGAAAAGUUAUAAAACUUAACUAAACUCGCACUUAGAAAAUUUGCAUAUAAUUUCUGGUCCUUAAGAGUCUGCAACACAAUUCGAGGGUGAUUGACAUAAUCUUUCUCACUUUUGGAGUACACCAAAAUGUCAUCAAUGAAGAUAAUAACAACUAAAUCUAGGAAUUAUCUAAACACUCGAUUCAUAAGAUCCAUGAAAGCAGUUGUAGCAAUAGUCAACCCAAAUAACAUAAUAAAAAACUCAUAAUGGCCAUAUCGGGUCCAUAAAUCCAUCUUGGGAAUAUCAAUCUAUCUAACUUUCAACUGAUGGUAUCCCAAAUGAAGAUCAAUCUUAGAGAAACAUAUAGCACCCUGAAGCUGAUUGAAAAAGUCAUCAAUCCUAGGAAGAGGGUUCUUAUUUUUUACUGUCAGCUUAUUCAACUAAUGAUAUUCUAUACACAUCCGAAGAGACCCAUCCUGAUUUUGGAUGAAAUAUAUAGGAGAAUCCCAUGGAGAAACACUAGGAUGAAUGAAACUCUUAUCUAGAAGAUCUUUUAGCUGCUUAUUUAGUUUGUUUAGCUCAGUCGGAGCUAUCCUAUAAGGAGAAAUAAAAAUAGGAUGAGCAUCCAGAAGAAGAUCAUUCCCAAAAUCUCUUUACCUAUUAGGAGGGAUUCUAAAAAGAUUAUCGGGAAAAACUUUAGGAAUCAUUAACCACAGGGACAGAUUGUAUAAAAGGACUUUCGGAGUAAGAAUCCUUAACCCAAACUAAAUGAUAUAGACACCCCUUGAAAAUUAACUUUUGAGCUCCAAGAUAGGAAAUAAACCUCCCUUUGGGUAAUAAGGAACUCUCUUCCCAUUCAAUCACCGGUUCAUUAAGAAAAUAGAAACUGACCUUUUGGAUCUUAUAAUCCAGAGAAGUAUAGAACUAAUAAAUCCAAUCCAUCCCCAAGAUCACGUCAAAAUCAACCAUAUCAAGCUCUACCAAAUCCACCAAUGUCUCCCUAUGAAAGAUGGAUACCACACAACCCCUAUAGAUUUUUCUAGAAAUAAUAGAAUCACCAACUGGAGUAGAAAAAAAAAGGGACCAAUAAUAAUUUCAGGACCAAAACCAAGGUGUACAGCCAUAUAUAGGGUCACAUAAGAUAGGGUGAAACCCAAAUCAAGUAAACAAUAAACAUCAUGAGAGAAGAGUCGUAACAUACCAAUGAUAAUAUCUAGAGAUGUGUAAGAUUCCUGAAGAGCAGCAAGAGCAUAGAGAUAAUUCCAACCAGUGUCAGUACUCAAAAUGGUUUCCUUAGGUGUAGGAGCCAAAUAGGUGGCAACCGAAACCUUAUUAGCUCUAGUGGAAACUUUAGCUAUAGGAUAAUAUCUCUGCAGAUGACUAGGCUGACCAUAAUUGAAACACAAGUUCCUUUCCUCCUUAUAGUAACCACAGUGAAGCUGCCUAAAAAAUCAAUAAGGAGGAUACAGUGGGGUUGACUGAACUCUACUGGCCUAAGACUAGGCACCCUGUGCCCUAGGACCACUACUAGCCUGAAAAUGAUGAUCACCUAAAGGCUUAGGAUAGGUAGCACUAGCUGUAAAUAAGAAUUUCCCCAAUUCUUCUUCUUAGUCCACAGCCUACUAUCUCUUUCACUAUUUUGCUGACUCGUACCCUACUUUGAAUACCUAAACUUUAUAUUUUGUCGCUCUUUUAUCUCUACUUGUUUCUUUUUUUCAUCAUCCACCGGCUGUAUAUAAACCACUAGCCUGGAGAUGUCCAUUUCUGUAACGCCAUAUAUUCUUAGCCCUUAAAUUUUCUUAAGCUUUGAGCUCACUACCUUGAUUAUGACUUGACUAUAUGAGUCAUAUGAUGUCUUAAAAUUCAGGUGGCCCUAUUUAUAGAUAUUUCAGUAGAUGGUGUUUAGGUAUCUGCCUUUGUUACGACUUUAGGGAUACGAGUUGUAAGGACUGGUGACGGGUCAUUAGGAUAAGCCAUAAUAUAACGCCCCAAAUCUUGCACCCGAAAUGCUACAUGGAUCUCAUAACCCCAAAGUUCAUAAACUAACCCAUGACUUAUAUCUGUACUUGAACACUACAUAAUAUACUGUAUAAAUGCAAAAAUGAAGGUUGUAAGGCUGUAAGGUUCAAGGAUCUGAGACAUAAUAUCUGUUAAAAUAUAGCAUCUGGGUGGGGUAUGAAAUACCCAAAACAACUAAAAUAACUAUCUAAACAUGCUAGUCCAAAAGCCUCUAAACUGUUUGAAUAAGGAGUUGAUGGGAUAUGUCUCCAACUAACUCCAACUACUGAAAUAAAUUAAUUAAUCAGAUAAUAAAGUAUUUGUCAUGUCCUCAAAGGAUGAGGACUCACUGCUAACUCUGACUGUUGAGACUAGAAUGCUACUGAUGCUCUGGAGCUCGUGCUUCUGAACCUAUGGUAUAAAAUAUCAUAGCGCAAAUGCGUCAGUAUGUUUGAAUGUACUGGUAUGCAUGUGAGGUAGGCUGAAUACAAAGGGUUCACAUGCAUGCACUAUACUAACUGACUGAAUAACGUAAACGUGAGAAUAUAUGCAUGAAUACAGAACCACUAUAACUGAGUUUGUGAUAAUAUGAUUGUCGAAUUUGAGUACUGAUAACAUAAGAUACUAAUAAUUGUAUAACUGAAAUAACUAAUAUGGAGUGACUGUAUCUGACAAUCUAGGUUCUGAUAGAACUAGCUGAGUUCUGUGUUGUUUUGAGUUGACUGUAUCUGACAAUCUUGAAAUUCUAAAGAACUAUCUGAGUUCUAUUAAUGAGACUGAAUGACUAUAUCUGAUAGUCCUGAUCUGUAACUGAAAUUAUGGGAAGUAAUCAUCUAACUGACAUGCCCCAAAUAACACAAUAUAGCUGAGUUCGGGUCCAAUCUAUAACCCCAAUUGGAAGGGUGUCAAUACCGCACCACUGGUAAGGACAUCUGUGAGUAACCCUUAUAUAACAAGUAACUCUAGUAAGAACGGUGGGAACCCUCAUAUAACAGGUUAUGAUGUCUCAACCUAUUUUGGCUACGUAGUUCUAGAACAUAAGAAUUUGCUUCUAAGAAUCACACCCUGAUAUAACAGGUGGGUUCCCAUCCUUGGGUUUACUUGGUGCUAAUUUCUACUCCCAUCUGAAUAAACACUGGACAUGAUUAACUAAACUGACUGGACUGAGUUAACUGAGUUCCAUUGACUGACAGAAUACUACUGAGAUUAUUGAGUUUUUCCUGAGUCAUUAGAUUGACUGAAUUCUAUGGAUCAUGGCUUGACUAAGAGUAUCUUGAAUUUUAGGCACACAGCUAAAUUUUCGAGUACAAGUACCCCCAGGACUCGAUAGAAAGAAACUGACAAAGCAUGACUUUCUUGAAUACACGACCAACAUCACAAUCCAUAAUACAAUAAGUUGGAGAUUUCAUGAAGUACAAGUUCUAAAGCAACACAAUGGCUACACAUAUAUCCAUAAUUCAUUGACUAAGAUAUUUCAUCAAACACUAGACAUGCAUAACUUGUACAUAAAUGGGGAUUUCAUAUUAUCAUACUAGUAUGGAACUUUUUCUUCACAUAGGCAUUUAAUCGAACACAUGGGAGCAGGCUUUGGUUAUACAAUCAUCAACACAUCUAAUAAUCAUGGAUAUAUCAAUCAAUGUGUAAACUUAAGGGUUUAUCAUGAUUAUUAUGCAAAUCACCACAUCCUAGGGUCAAUCAUUGGAAUAUGUAAUUUCAAACAUGAAUCAAAACUCCACAACAUCAUGAACAUGAAUUUCAAUUCAAUUUAAAUCAUGAACAUUCAUAAAUACACAAAUCUUGAAUUUUGAAAAGAGAUUAUUGAGCUUCAUGGGUGAAAGGGACCCAUGAAUCAACACAUGACAUUUCUUGAUUGUGAGUUUCUUGAAGUCCUUGGACUUGAAGAACUUGAAUCUCUUAGUUUCUUGAAGAAGGAUUUGGAUCUUGUUCUUGGGGAUUAUCUUUGAGAGAAAACCCUAAUUUGAUGUUGUAGAUGGAUAAUGAACUUACGAACCUUGAUCUGAUAUAAUUAGAUAUUAAAACGGGUGAAAAAAGAUCCAAAUACCCUUUUAAAAUGACUUUAAAAUAACUGAAUAAACUAUGUGAUGGUGGGUGCGAUGGUAUAUCUCUAGGUCGACAGUCCGUCUGUCCUGACCAUCGUACCUGGGCAGAAUAGGGAUUCACUGCCUCUGCUGUGAUGGCUUGGACGACGGUCCAUCGCUAGCUCUAUGGUCUGUCGGCCUGAUCCAUUGCCCUUUGGCAGAAGGUGGUCUCACUGCCUCUACUGCGAUGGUUUGGGCGACUGUCCGUCGCUAGCUCGACGGUUCAUCGCUAGCUUGACGAAAUUGGUAUCGUUGGAAAGCUAAUUCAAUUUCCCACAUGACAAAAAAUAAAAAUCUUAAAAUUUCCACAUAUAUAAAAGUGGAUUCAUCUUUCAAAGUAAGUUUCUAACAUGCUUGGGAUGAUUUUAAGCUAAGUAGAAGUAUGGGGUAUUACAAUAUCUCUCCCUUGAGAACAUUCAUCCUUGAAUGAGACUGAGUGAGAGGGGAGAAGAUAAACUAAUGUACAUACUGAACAUGAAUAACUAGAACAUGAUCUCAUGACUGACAUGACUGAUAACUGAAUAUAUCAUACAGAACAUGCAUAUCUGAUACAUGUGUAACUGAUUUAUGACUGUAUGACUGAAUUACUGAUAAGAUGAGUUUCUCAUCAAACUGAACAUACAUAUCUGAUACAUGAAUACAUUACUGAACUGACACAUAAAUGGAUGAAUGACUAUGCAAUGGUACCUAAUUCUAAGUUUAUAAUGGAAUUCUGAGCAUGAAAUGGAUAUCAAGCUUGUCACUGAAAUCUGAGCAUGAAACUGAAAAGCUUAAGAAGAACUAUUACCUUACGCUAGAUCUGAGUUUUCAGAGAAGAGUUGAGGAUACUUGGUCCGCAUUUCUGCUUCUGCUUUCCAAGUAGCUCCAUCAACGGACUAAUUCCGCCAAAAUACUUUGACUAAAGGGACUUUUCUGUUCCUCAGUCUACGAGUCUGGUAGUUAAGAAUUUCGACUGGAAUCUCUUCAUAAAAGAGGUUGUUCUAAACAUCUAUGCUCUGAAUAGGGACUACAACUGAUGGGUCACCUAUACACUUCUUGAGCAAAUAUACAUGGAAGACUAGAUGAACUGAGGCUAGAUCUGAAGGCAAUUUGAGCUCAUAAUCUACCUUGCCAAAGCGACUGAGAAUCUUGAAGGGACCGACAUAUCGGGGAUUAAGCUUUCCCUUCUUAUUGAAUCUCUUCACUCCUUUCAUGGGAGAGAUCUUUAGAUAGACAUAGUCACCAACCUUGAACUUGAGGUCCUUUCUACGCACAUCUACAUAAGACUUCUGUUGGCUCUGAGCAGCCCGAAGUCUUUGUCUGAUCAACUGGACUUUCUCUAAGGCAUCGAAUAUUAAGUCAGGCCGUAUGACUAAGGCCUUACUAACUUCGAACCAACCAACUGGAGAUCUGCACUUCCUACCAUAGAGAGCUUCGAAUAGAGUCAUCUUAAUACUAGAAUAAUAGCAGUUGUUGUAUGCAAACUCAAUCAAAGGCAAGUGGUCAUCCCAACUACCCUUGAAAUCAAUUGCACACGCUUAUAACAUAUCUUUUAAAGUCUGAAUAGUCCUUUUUUCUUGACUAUCUGUCUGAGGAUUAAAGGUUGUACUGAGAUAAACUUGGGUACCAAGACCCUUUUAGAACGUUUUCCAGAAAUAAGAGGUGAACUGGGUACCUCUAUCUGAUAUAAUAGAUAACAGAACAUAGUGCAAUCUGACCAACUCUCUGAUGUAGAGUUUGGCAUAAUCCUCAGCUGAAUAAGAGGUAUAGACUAGAAGAAAAAGAGCUGACCUAGUCAUUCUAUCUACAAUGACCCAGACUGAAUCAUGCUGGCGAUGAGUACGAGGCAAACCUAUCACAAAUUCCAUGUUCAUGUCUUCCCACUUCUAAGUAGGAAUACUGAACUACUGCAUGGACCCACUAGGCUUCUGAUGCUCUAUCUUAACCUACUGACAUGUAGAACACUUAGCCAUAAACUCUACAACAUCUCUUUUCAUCCCACUUUACUAAUAGAUCUCCCCUAAUUCACGGUACAUCUUAGUAGCCCCUGGAUGAAUCGAGUAGCACGCACCAUGUGCUUCUACAAGAAUUCAUUGCCUUAAGUCAGCUACACUUGGAACACACAGAUAACCCUGAUAACGUAGAACACCAUCUCCUCCUUGAGAAAAAACCUCUACUUUCUGAUCUUUGACUGACUCUUUCAACUUGACUAGACUGGGAUCUCUAUCUUGCUUUUUUUUCACCUUGAAAACUAGAGAUGAUUCUGAACUACUCGACCCAUAUGUCACCCUCCUCUGAAUCGACUAAGCGAACACUUAGUCUGGCAAGCUGAUGGAUUUCUUGAGCUAAAUUCUUCUUACUAUCCUCAACAUGAGCAACACUACCCAUAGACAAUCUACUGAGAGUAUCGAACACAAUAUUGGCCUUGCUCAGAUGAUAAAGGACACUUAUCCCAUAAUCUUUCAAGAGCUCUAACCACCUUCUCUGAUAAAGAUUGAGAUAUUUAUGAGAAAAGACAUACUAAAGGCUCUUAUAAUCUGUGAACACAUCUACAUAAACUCUAUAUAGAUAAUGCCUCCAAAUCUUCAAGGCAAAGAAUACGGCUUCUAACUCAAGAUUAUGAGUAGGAUAAUUCUUCUCAUAGAGUUUAAGCUGUCUGGAGGCGUAUGCUAUGACCUUACCAUGUUGCAUGAGGACACAACCCCAACCUAUUUUGGAUGCAUCACAAUACACUAUAAACAAAUCAAAAUCAUCUGGAAGAGCCAAAAUUAGAGCUGAGGUGAGUCGAGUCUUCAACUCUUAAAAACUCUUCUCGUAAGGAUCUGACCACUGAAACUUAACUUUCUUCUGAGCCAAUAUAGACAUAGGGGAUGAAAUAGAAGAAAAUCCCUUAACAAACCAUCUGUAAUAGCCAGCCAAACCUAAGAAACUACUGAUAUCUGAUGGAGAGACAGGUCUAGGCUAGUUUCUUACCACUUCAGUCUUUUGAAGAUCUACUGUAAUGAUAUCACCAGAAAUGAUAUGGCCAAGGAAUACUACUGAACUUAUCCAAAACUCGCACUUACUGAAUUUGGCAAACAACUAAUGAUCUCUGAGAGUCUGAAGAACUAUUUUGAGAUGGUUUACAUGAUUACACUCACUACGAGAAUAUACCAAAAUAUCAUCUAUGAAGACUAUGAUGAACAUAUUCAAGUACUUCUUGAACACCCGGUUCAUCAAGUCCAUGAAAGCUACUAGGGAAUUGGUAAGACCAAAGGACAUGACUAGGAAUUCAAAGUGACCAUACCGAGUAUGAAAAGCUAUUUUCAGUAUGUCACAUUCUCUGACUCUGAGACGAUGAUACCCUAAUUUGAGGUCUAUCUUAAAAAAAUAGCUGGCACCCUAAAGUUGAUCAAGUAAGUCAUCGAUUCUGGGAAUAGGAUACUUGUUCUUGACCGUAACUUUAUUAAGCUGACAGUAGUCUAUACACAUUCUAAGAGAAUUGUCUUACUUGCACUUGAAUAAGACUGGUGUGCCCCACGGGGACACGUUGGGUCUGAUGAAUCCCUUAUCUAAGAGAUCCUUCAACUGCUCUUUCAAUUCCCUGAGUUCUAUUGGUGCCAUUCUGUACGGUAGAAUAAAUAUAGGCAGAGUAUCUGGAAGAAGAUCAAUGUCAAAGUCUAUUUCCCUUUAGGGAGGAAUUCCUGGAAGAUCUUUAAGAAAGACAUCUGAAUAUUCAUUCACGAAUGAGACUGAAUCAAGACUGGGAGUUUCAAAACUAGUGUCCUUAACUCAAACAAGAUGAUAGACACAUCCUUUAGAUAUCAGUUUAUGUGCCCGAAGGUAGGAAACAAGCUGACCUCUGAAAGAUGGAGUACUACCCCUCCACUUUAGGACAGGUUUACUCAGAAACUAAAACUGGACUUUUGUUUCUGCAGUCGACUGUGGCAUAGUAGGAAUGAAGUCAAUCUAUGCCGAGAAUGAUAUCAAAAUCAUUUAUAUCUAAUUUGACUAAGUCUGCUAAAGUGACUUUAUGAAAUAUCAUAACCGGGCAGUUCCUGUAUACCCACCAGGUUAUGAUAGUUUUAACCACAGGGGUAGAGACUGAAAAGGACUCUUCUAGAAUUUUGGGACUGGUUUUGAAAUUGCCUGCUAUAUAAAGAGUAUCAAAAGACAAAGAUGCUCUUGGAUAUAGCAAAGCAUAAAAAUGCACAUGAAAGAUCUGUAACGUACUAGUAACUACAUCAGGAGAAUUUUCUUGAUCCUGUCGGGACUGAAGAGCAUUGAGCCUAUUUGGGCAUUGUCCACUAGUAGUGCUGGAGGUGGCACCCUGCUGGUUUGGGUGACCAGACUUAGCUGAGGAAUGGUUCUGCUGACUCUAAGGACCUGGCUGAGGACAGUCUCUAGCUCUAUGUCUUGGCUUGCCACAUCCAAUAAAAAUACCACUGCCAGCUCUGCAAAUACCUUGAUGGUUUUUGCCAUAAGUCUGGUAAUGAGAACAGGUGCAGGCACUACUAACACUGCCCUGAGACUUAGAUCCUGGCGCUCUAUCUCUGUUACCGUCUCUGAAUCUAGGAGAUGGAGCACUAGCUAAAGAAGGAGAUGGAACUGCUGACUUAGGAAAAAACGGAUAACGGUUUCCUUCUUCUGAUUUGGGCUGAGCAAAGUUGAAACUACCUGUCCUUUCUCUUUUAUUCUGCUUCUCCCUUAUCUUAAUCUUUUGCUCCUCUAUCAGUUGAGCAUCAGUCAUAAGCCUGGCUAUGUUUAUGUUACUAUUCAACAUUGUGGACCUGCACUCAUUGACCACACUAUCAUUUACCCCAGAGAUAAACUUACUCAUCUUAGCCCUACUAUCUGUAACCACAUGAGGAGCAUAUCUGGCUAAUUGAGUAAACUUAAGAAAAUACUCUUUCACCAUUAUGUUGCCUCGUAUGAGGUUGAUAAAUUCUAACACUUUAGCUUCUCUCAGCUCUAGGGGAAAAAAUCUAUCUAAGAAGGCGGUAGCAAAUUUCUCCCACUCAAUAGGCCCUGUAUCUACAACCCUCUCUGACUUUCACUAUUGUACCAAGUGUGAGCAAUAUCUUACAAUUGAAAUACAGCUAGCUUUGUACUCUCACUAGAAGUAACCCCCAUGAUAUCCGUAACCUUCUAAACCUGGUCAAGAAAUUCCUAAGGGUCCUUAUCUAAAUUAGACCUAAAAAGGGAUGGAGGAUUCAUUUGGGUGAAUUCCCGAAUCCUGGCUACAACUGAAUUAGCCACUGUGUUGGCCAGAACUAUAGCAGGUCAUUUAUUCUGACCUGCAGCUGACUGAGAACGAGUAGUGAAUGCAGCUCUAAACUCUGCAUGAGAAACAUGUUCGCCCAAAUAAUCUUCAGGCUGAGGGAUUGGCUGAUUCUCAUUUUUUCUUUUAAGAUGCAGGUUUUGUAGAAGAAAGAUAAAUGAAUUAGACUGAGAGAUUGACUUGAGAUUGUGCUCACUGGCAUGACAUGAAUACUGAAAGAAGGGAAACUGUACCUAAAACAUCUCAUAGCCUCCUGUACAUAAAUGUGGCGUACAACACACCCAUAUACAAGACUCUACUAGAUGCGAAUUUCAAACUUCCUAGAACUCUAUUGAACCUUAGGCUCUGAUACCAAGUUUGUAACCCCCCAAAUUUGGCAUCCAAAAUGCUACAUGAUGCUCAUGACCUCGAAGGACCACAAGCCAACCCAUGACUAAUAUCUGUACCUGAACACUGCAAAUAUACUAUAUAAAUACGGAAAUAAAGGUUGUAAGGCCGUAAGGUUCAAAGAUCUGAGACAUAAUAUCUGUUAAAAUAUAAUAUCUGGGUGGGGUAUGAAAUACCCAAAACAACUAAAAUAUCUGUCUAAACAUGCUAGUCCAAAAGCCUCUAAACUGUCUGAAUAAGGAGUUGAUAAGACAUGUCCCUAACUAACUUCAACUACUGAAAUAAAUUAAUUAAUGAGAUAAUAAAGUAAUGGUCAUAUCCUCGAAGGAUGAGGACUCACUGCUAACUCUGACUGCUGAGACUGGAAUACUACUGAUGAUCUGGAGCUCAUACUUCUGAACCUAUGGUAUAAAACACCAUAUCGCAAAUGGGUCAGUACGUUUGAAUGUACUUGUAUGUAUAUGAGGUAGGAUGAAUGCAAAGGGUUCACAUGUAUGCACUAUACUAACUAACUGAAUAAUAUGAACGUGAGAAUACAUGCAUGAAUAUAUAAUCACUAUAACUGAGUUCGUGAUAAUAUGAUUACUGAAUCUGAGUACUGAUAACAUGAGAUACUGAUAACUGUAUAACUAAAAUAACUAAUAUAGAGUGACUGUAUCUGAUAAUGUAGGUUCUGAUAGAACUAGAUGAGUUAUGUCUUGUUCUGAUAUGACUGUAUCUAACAAUCUUAAAAUUGGAUAAUAUGAAUGUGAGAAUACAUGCAUGAAUACAUAAUCACUAUAACUGAGUUUGUGAUAACAUGAUUACUGAAUCUGAAUACUGAUAACAUGAGAUACUGAUAACUGUAUAACUGAAGUAACUAAUAUGGAGCGACUGUAUCUGACAAUCUAGGUUCUGAUGGAACUAGUUGAGUUUUGUGUUAUUCUAAGUUGACUAUAUCUGACAGUCUUGAAAUUUUAAAGAACUAUCUGAGUUCUAUUACUGAGACUGAAUAACUAUAUCUGAUAGUCCUGAUCUAUAACUGAAACUGUGGGAGGUAGUCAUCUAAUCGAUAUGGCUCAAAUAAUACAAUAUAGCUGAGUUGGGGUCUAAUCUGUAACCCUAAUUAGAAGGGUGUCAAUACCGCGCCACUGGUAAGGAUAAUCUGUGAGUAACCCUCAUAUAAUAGGUAAGUCUAGUAAGAAUGGUGGUAACCCUCAUAUAAUAGGUUAAGCCACCUUAUGGUAUGAUCUUUCAAACAUGAAUCAAAACCCCACAACAUCAUGAACAUGAAUUUCAAUUCAAUUUAAAUCAUGAACAUUCAUAAAUACAUAAAUUUUAGAUUUUGAAAAGAGAUUCUUGAGCUUCAUGGGUGAAAGGGACCCAUGAAUCAACACAUGACAUACCUUGAUUGUGAGUUUCUUGAAGUCCUUGGACUUGAAGAACUUGAAUCUCUUAGUUUCUUAAAGAAGGAUUUAGGUCUCUUUCUUGGGGAUUAUCUUUGAGAGAAAACCCUAAUUUGAUGUUAUAAAUGGAUAAUGAACUUAUAAGCCUUGAUCUGAUAUAAUUAGAGGUUAAAACGGGUGGAAAAAAACCCAAAUACCUUUUUAAAAUGGAUUUAAAAUAACUAAAUAAACUAUGCAACAGUGGGUGCGAUGGUCCAUCGCUGGGUCGAUGGUCCGUCAGUCCUAACCGUCGUACCUGGGCAGAAUAGGGGUUCAUUGCCUCUGCUGCGACAGCUUGGGUGAUGGUCAAUCACUAGCUCGAUAGUCCGUUGGUCUGAGCCAUUAUCCUUAUGCAGAAGGUGGUCUCACUGCCUCCGUUGCGAUGGUCCGUUACUAGCUCGAUGGUCCAUCGGCCCUCAUCGUCGCACCUGGCCAGUUUUGACUGCUUUCUGUAAAACAGCCACAACUUUCUACCCCGAUAACAAAUUUGGAUAAAAUUGGUAUCGUUGGAAAGCUAAUUCAAUUUCUCACAUGACAACAAUUGAAGAUUUUAAAAAUUCCAUGUAUAUAAAAGUAGAUUCAUCUUUCAAAGUAAGUUUCUAACAUACUUGCGAUGAUUUCAAGCUAAGUAGAAGUACGGAGUAUUACACGUAAUCAAAUUUGUAAGUUUGUGACUUGACUCUGCUCCGAGUACGAGUGGAUCACUAAGAGCCGUAAGGAUAGGUUAUGAGUUGUGAGGUAAAAUCGUAAGUUGUCCAGUGUCUAACCUCUUUGGGUUCUUUGUAUGAGUCAUAGGGUCUGGUUAUGAGUUGGGUGGUUGAGUCAUAAGGAUGACAGUGUAUUGGGGUCUUGGUUACACAUCAUGGUCACGAUUCGUAAGGAGUGGUUAUGAGUCAAUGGUUGACUCGUAGUCAAAGACGAUACUUUUUCAGCUUUUAAAUUGGGGGCAAUUUGGAUAUUUUCCACUUUAACCCUUUGGAAUCCACGACUUAAAACCUUCAUUGGUACUUCAUUAUCAUAUUAUAUUCUCAAUAAAACACUCCCAAAAUUCUCUCCCAAACUCUCUAUUCAAGCUAAGGCUAGGGUUUCAAAGAAAGUGAUCAUCUAGGGUUCUAAGGUUGUUAUCUCUUCCAAAUUUCUUGGAACUUCAGGCAUGCUACUCCUCCAUCAUUGUUAUUUUAUUAAAAUCAUAUAUUUUAAUGUAUGGCUUUCAUAGUAUUGUUAUUAAUUUAAAAUAAAUUUUAGGGGUUUUGAAUGCUUAUCGUUGAAUAAUGUUUUCCCAUGGUUUAAUUAUGGUUUCCAUGUUUUAAAUAUAGUUUUGAAUAUGUGGGUGCAUGGGUAUGGUGGUUGAACUUGAAAAUAGUAAUUUUCUCUAAACUUGUGACUUUUGAAGUGGUUAUGACUCCAACCUUGUAUUGUAAAAUUGGUUUGUAGUUAUGAGAAAGGUGGGAAUUUGGAUUAGGGGUACAAUAAAAUCCCCAAGGUGUCUGGUUUAACUUUUUUCUUGAAACUAAUGCAUGGAAUAAAUGGUUAAUUAGUUAAGGACAGUUUUGAAAACCUUGUGCGGUACACCAAAAUCCCCCAAGCAAAUAAUUUAUGAAAAUCUUAUUGGGUAUAUGGGUAUCCCCCAAGUGAUUUUAAUAAUGGAGUCUGCGGGGUAUAUGGGAAUCCCCUAAGUGUUGGCUUAAUGAUAUUGCUUGCAAGAUAUAGUUGUUAUGACGAUACUAAUUACUAAUGCCUUAAUAAUUGACUCCUAGAAUUGGUGGUUUGGUUAUGAGUUAAAUGUUUUAAUUGGGCAUAAUGGGGGUUGUGAUAGCUAGACGUGAAGGUGUGAGUCUGAAGGGCGGACACUAGAAACUCACGUUUACCGGCAUGAGGAUUGGUCUUGAUGACCAUGUGCUAAUGGAAUCCCUCAAGGCUAUACAUAUAUAUAUAUAUAUAUAUAUGUAUCAUGGAGGGUGAAGGGUACAAGGGAAUCCCCGACCAUCUAUGAUAUCUUUGGUUCGUGUGGCUACAUACACUAGGGCCCAUUCUUGGGUUAACACUGGACCCAUAUAGCCCAUGGGUGGAUUUAUGAUGGUAAAACUAUGCAACCUAGGCUAAUAUUUCAAAAUGCAUGCUAAACCUUAUUUUCUAUCCAGAUACGGUAUAUAUAUAUAUAUAUGUAAUUGCAUAUGUUUAUUCGCACUGGUUUGAUUUAGUUCUGAAUUAAAGGCAUUACUUUAUAUUUGUCCCUGAGUUACUUACUAGCAUUCACCCCACUAACCAUCUUCAGGUGUUGUAUCCUCACGUGAUGCAGGAAUUGACCAUACUUCCACUACUUCUGCUUAGUGACUUGGUGAUUCAGGGAUAACUUUUGAGUUAGACUGAAGUGGUGAGCUUCCAUACUCCGAAAAACCCCAUUUCAUGCUAUGGAUUUCUCUUUGUCGUUAUUAUUUCUUUGGUUUUGGUUUUGGCUAUGGUCGGGGGCUUCUCCCGAUUGGAUAUUCUUUAGUUUUGACUAGAGGCUUUUUUGGACUACUAUGGGCAUGGGCGACGUCAGUAUUGGUGUUAGAAUUGGUAUUAGUAUUGGUAUUGGGAUAAGAAUUAGAUGGUUAAUUGGUUAUGGAAUAUGGUUUUGGUUAUAGACUCAUUACAAUGUCUUUAAUUUUAUAUUGUCAUAUCUUGUUAUAUGUUCAAAAUUCAUCCGACAAGGGAUGCUAGGUAUGAUCAGUGGUUUGGGUAUUUAGGGGUGGUCUCGAAUCCUUGUUGGACUCAAAAUACCCAUCACGACCAUUCCCUGGUUCGAGUUGUGACAAUUUCAUUGUUCAACAUGGCAGCCUUACACUUCAAUACCAACUCACGGGAUAGCCCAGAAGCAAACUUCUUAAUUUGGAUCUCAUGUUAUCCACUAACUUCGGAGCAUAACGGGACAACUGUUGAAAUUUUAGAGCAUACUCAUUUACACUCAUCUUGUCCUGCUUCAAGUUCACAAACUCUUCAUCCUUAGAUUUCCUCAACUCCUUAGGAAAGAAGUGAUUAAGAAAAGCACCUAAAAAGUCAUCCCACAUAACCAACUCAGCACAUCACCCCUUAUCGCUUUCCACUUCUUAUACUAUUGAUAAGCUACAUAUUUCAAUUGAUAUGCAAUAAACUCUACACCCUCAGAAUUAGUAGCAUUUCAAUUGAUAUGCAAUAAACUCUACACCCUCAGAAUCAGUAGCAUGCAUAACUCGAAAAAAUUUCUCCAUAUCACCAAUAUACCCCUAAGGAUCCUCCUUAACCUUAGAGCUGUAAAGGUUGGGGGAUUCAACCUUAUAAACUGGACAACCUGAGUGACCUCAAAUGAAUGAGCAACAGAACCAACAUAAUCAAACUGAGGAGACUAUGAUACCAUUAACAGAGUAAUAAUAUGGAUAGACUGGAGUAACUCCGCAUUAGAAAUAUCUCCCUGAGGUGACUGAGCAUAAGUAUCACCAGCUCAGGGGGCGCAAAGAGGACUAGUAAGGUCUGAUGGAACUCCAUGUGGAGCAGUACAGUCAAGAUUAAGGACCAUAGACCAGGUAUGGACUCCAUAAAUAGGGCAAGUCCUCGUCACGUUUUCCUCGGGUGAGAUAGAGGUUCUAGCAGAGUUUUUAUGAAUGCCAGAUAUUCGGGGAGGCAUGACCUGAAAUAUGAGUAAGCCAAGAGUUAGAAAAGUUUCAAGACAACUAGACUCUAUAGCUUGAAAUAGAACAUAAGAAAAGGAAACAUUCCUAAAUGCCAGCACAUAAAUGGAAAGAUACCACCACGUUGUGGUAUCUUUCCAGUUCGCAACCAAGGUGGCAAUAUGAUUUCCACCGCGUCGCGCCAAGGUUCAGUUUCCCAAUUGUCCAAUUUCCAAUAAGCUGGCGCGAUUAUGGCGCGUCGCGCCAGCACAUAAAAUCGGGAUUUUUCUAGUUCUGGAUUUUCAUUCCAAGGGCAAAAAUAGUCUUUUCGCAACCCCUAUAUAUACUCUUGAGAUUCAACACAUUUACACCCAAAUAUUGUUGGUUUCUCUCAAUUUAUUCAAGAACAAAACCUAGGGUUUCUAAUCAAAGACCCAAAUCAUUAAGGUUUCACCGUGACUCUUUCAAGAAUUACAUAGCAAGGAAUAUUAGAUGUUGAUUCUUGGGUUCCUUCCACCCAAGAAUUUCAAGAAUUCUUUUCUAAAUUCAAAGAUCUUAUAUUUAUAGAGUUUUCAUGAUUCAUGUGAAUUGAAAUUGAAGUUCAUGUUAUUAUUUAGUUUUAAUUCAUGAUUUAGACUACCAAUUUCAAGAGUUGAUUCUAGUAUAUGAUGAAUUAUAUGAUGUUCAUGGUAAACCCUCUCCAAGUUGCAUGAUAUUAAUGUAUUCAUGAUGAUUAAGUAUAGAAUAUGUAGUAUAACCAAAGCAUGCUCCUCAUAUGUUUGAUAAAAUGCUUAUGUGAAGGAAUUAAAGCCGUUAUAGCAUGUUGACUAGAAAUCCCCAAUUGUGUGUAAGUUCAUGCAUGCCAAGUGUUUUUUGAAAAGCCUUAGUGAAUGAAUUGUGAAAUGUUAGCAUGAAAUUCCCUAAUUAUGCGCUCUUAAAUGCAUGUAAAAUGUAUGUUGUAAGACCUUGUUGAAUAGAGUAUGAGCUAGUAGCAUGUCUCCCUAUACUAUUACAUGUUUAUGAUUUCCAAGUGCUUUAAGAGAUGCUUUAAUGAUUGUAAUGGUGAAUGAAAGUCCAUGGUCAUGAUUAUUUAUGAUGGUUAUAUUUUACUUGUAUUUUAUCGUGUCCUAAGGGUAAUUAUACCCGAUAAUUUAGUUACAAGUCUAGAGCCCGUGUCAGUUUUCACGAUAAUCUCAGUCAAGUCACGAUUCUUAGAACUCAGUCAGUUAUAGAAUUCAGUACUCUCAAACAGUUAUAGAACUUAAGAAAUCUCAGUAAUCCAAGUAUCAUUAGCAUUCCAGCUUCAGUUCAGUACUCAGCUCAGAUCUUAGUAGUUUUCAAUAUUCAAUUCAGACCUUAGUAGUAUUCCGUCAGUCAACGGAACCAAGUGAAUUCAGUCAGAUCAGUCAAGAAAUAUGAACAGUAACAGAUUCAGCUUAGUCUAGUACAAUCUAAGUAUUAGUUCAGUGUCUAUUCAGUUGGGAGUAGGAUUCAGCACCGAGCAAGGGCAGAGAUGGCGGAUUCCUUAUUAUUUAGGCAGAGUCAUUAGUAGCAAUCCCUAUACCUCCAGAACUGCGGAGCCAGUGCAGGAUGAGGAGUCACUCGUUAUAUUAGGCUUGACUACCUCCUAGGAGACACCCAUUAUAUUAGGAUUGGCUCCAACCAAGUGUCACCCGUUAUAUUAGGCAUGGCAUUCUGGGUUCAGAGAGAAGUGUCUUUACCCAUGGCAUGGUACUGACACCCUUCCAACUGGGGUACAGGUUGGACCCUAACUAGCUAGAAGAGGCAUGUCGGUUAGAUGACUAUCUCCCACAGUCUUAAUUUCAGAUCCAGUCUCAGUAAUAGAAGUCAACAGAGGAGUGACCCGUUAUACUAGGCUUGACUACCUCUCAGAGAUCACCCGUUAUAUAUAGGCUUGAUCUCAGAUUCAGACAAUCAUAUUCAUUAUCAGAUGACUCAGAGAUCACCCAUUAUAUAGGCUUGAUCCCAGAUUCAUUUUAUCCAGUAUCAGACAUCAUUACCAGUAAACUCAAAGGUCACCCGUUAUAUAGUCUUGAUCUCAGAUAUAAUAAAUCAGUAUCAGUAUCAGCAAGAUUAGACAUCAAUCUCAAUAGACUCAAUUAUUCAGUCUCUCAGUAUUAGCAAACUCAGACAUCAGUACUAGUAGACUCAGUCAUCAGUAAGUCAGUAUUCAGAAACCCAUAUUCAGAGUUCGUAUUCAGUGUUACUGCAAUUCUAGUUUUGGUUUGUGCAUUCAUACAUAUGUCCUCCUUCAGUACUCUCAUGUUAUUCAAAUAAGUAACUGUUCAUGCAUAAGCCCCUGCAUGUAGCCUUACCUCAUCUAGAAUACCAGUACAUUCAAAGUACUGACACAUACUUUUCUAUUGCUCUAUGGUGUCUUAUACCAUAGGUUUAGAAGCGCGAGAUCCAGAGCACCCUUAGCAGUCCAGACUCAGUCUGCAGUAGUAGACGUAGUAGUGAGUCCUCUUCAUUCGAGGAAGAUCCUUAUUUUAUUAUGGCAUUAGAUUCAGUUUAUUUUUAAUAGACAGAGUUAGUUGGGGGCAUGUCCCAUCAGCUCCACAGUUUAGACAGUUAGAGGCUUUUCGAACAGAUGUAUUAGUAUUCAGCUUUUAGUAUUGGUUAUUUUAGAUGUUUUGAACCUUAUGGUAAGUUGUCGGCAUUAUUCAGUAUUCUUAUACAAUUAUUGCAGCAGGUACCAAAUAAGGGUUAGCUUGUGGUCCUUCGAGAUUAUGAGCACCAUGUGGCAUUCUGAUUCUAGAAAAUUAGGGUGUUACACCUUAUAACCUCCCCCUUAUAAGUAUGGUGUGUUACACACCCAUAAAAGAGACUCCACUCGACACGACUUUGUAGACAUCCAAGGACCCUAAACCAUGCUCUGAUACCAAGUUUGUCAUAACCCAAAUCAGGGCCUAAUAUUGAUGGGUAUCUCAAGCCCACUAUGAGUCGGAGACCACCCCCUAGCCUAACAUCCAGAACACAAUAAAAUAAUACAGUAGAAGCCAACCAAAUAGUAAUAAGAAGGAUAGAUAGUCAAAUGUGAAUUCUAUUAAUAAAAAUCGAUAUCCAACUAACACUUUUCCAUAAGAGCCUAUAAAACCAGAAUGCCAAUAAGUCGGGACAUGCCUCCGACCAUGACCAAAAGAAUCUAAAAUAAAAAUAUUAAAAAUAAAAAAAGGUAGAUAAAAUAACUUGGCCUUUAGAUAGAUGGAGGCUUACUACUUCACAACAACUCAAUAGAUUUAUCGAACUAUCUAACAUUGCACAGGAGCAACAGAACACCCUUCGAACCCUAUAUCAUGAAAUGAUGUAGCGUCCAGGGACAGUCAGUAGGAUAAGCACUGGCAUAUAACUCAGGAAAAAUGAUAAAAUGAUGUUAAUGCCAUAAACCAGUCAAAACCAUAUGCACAAUAAUUAUACAUACAUAUAUAGGAUAUCGGGAUAGGGGCAAGGGUCAUGAACGUGAGAGUUUAGAUCAUUAAACUCAACUGCGUAGCUCGCUCCAUCCUAAAGUCACCUACUGGCUAUAUUGGUCCAGCUUCCCUUACUUAAAGGGUCCAGUGUAUGUUAGCCACACGAACCAAGGAAUCCAUAAGAAGGGCUAAAGACACCAAGGCUCUAGCUAUCCCAAAAUAUAAUAUGUGAAUCAAACACACGAUCAUAUAGACCCCUAUGCCGACAAACAUGGUUUCCAGUGUUAGUUCCCCCAGGACUACACCUUUAUGGUGAGUUACAACAUUUCCUUUAAGCCUAAAUAAAAUAGUUUGCAUAUAAACCCAACCAUUAACCUAGAAGUCUUAAAAUAAGGCAUUUAGCACUAGGCAUCAUCAUAUCAAUUUUGCUUGAACUAUCAUAUAAUCAUGCCAAACCAAUCGAUGCAACCAUUAAACUACUAAGUUCCAUUUAAGAUCCAAACCAUGGCCACCAAAGGCCUUUCAAAUCCUUUUUAACCAAUUAUCCAUUAAUGCAAUGCAAUGGAUUUAUGAACAAGUUGAAUUAUGCAAUUAUCCAUGUUCAAAAAAACUAAAUUUACAAAGUGGAUUGGGGUUAAUGCCAUUACUAAGCCAACAAGGUCAUCAAUUUGGUAAAACCCAUGUUCCCCAUUCCAAUUUCCAUAACAAUGCACCCAUUCAGUCCAAAAUCAUAAAUUAUAGCAUAACUUAUCAAUUUAAAACAUGAAAGAAGUAAUUCAAGUAAUACCAAUCAAAAUCCCUCAAGCCAAUUUCAAACUCAUUAAUUCAAACCACAUGGAUAAUGAGUAAAAAAGUGCCACAAUAAAAAAUUAAAGUUAGGGAAUAAGAUACAUGCCUAAAAUACACAAGAAAUUGAAGUAAAUUCAAAAGAGCUUGGAUAGUGAAUCCUUUGUAAAAACCUUGAAUUUUCUUUGUUUAAGCAUUAAAUAGGAAGAGAAUGGUAUUUGAUCCUAAAAACUGAAGAAAAAAGGGUAUCUUUUAUGUUUAAAAGUCAUGAAAAGGGUAAAAAGGACAAAAUUCUCUCACUCCAAGUGAAAAAAAAACAAAACUGGACAAACUUAAUAUAGCAGAGUGGAACACCAAUAUCACGGAGGGUUGUCUCCAUUCCACGCCCUUAUCGUGGAGGCUAACCUCCAUGGCAUGCUAAUAUUGUAGGCCCUCACAGCCUCAGGGUUCCAAAAUGACCUUGAACCCUUUUCAAAAAUUCUGAGACUUUCCCAACACACCCUUUAACAUCCCUAAAUAUAAUUCAAGUCAAAAAUUAAUAUUAUGAAUGCAGGAGGAUCAAAAAUAAAAUUAUUAAAAUUUUAUGAGGUCUUAUAGUAAGGUGACCAAAAAAGGACCCUCUGGAAAAAAAAGAACAAACCAAAUUUCAAAAAGAAAAAAUAUUUUUUCAAAAAUAAAUAUGAGCAAGAGUAAGUGUUAUAAUUGCCAAGCUCUAUGGUAUUUUGCUCGUGAUGUUUCCUGAUAAGAAAAGAUAGAAUUUCUAAAUGCAUCUCUGAGUACUACAUAUAUUUCUAGCACUGUAUUAAUAAUUGAAUCUUAUCCUAUAUGAAUUUUAGACUCGAGAGCCACCAACCAUGUGAGUCAUGAUCGAGAAGAAUUUAUGGAGUUCCGUUGAGUUUCACUGGGGUUAAGGUAGACAUGUAGAAAAUUAUGCAAGAUUAAAGUCAUAAGGAUAGGCACUUGUAAAGUGGACUUGCGUGAUGACCGAUCUUUAUUAUUUCAUGAUGUCAUAUAUGUUUCAGAGCUUCGAUGAAACUUAGUAUCUGUUUCUAUUUUUUAAAAUGAUGGUUUUGAUUUGCUUUUUAAUAACAAUGGUGUUAGAAUAACUCUAAACAAUAUUUUUUCUGGUUUUGGACUUCGUUAUGAUCACUUUAUCAUUUUUGAUUGUAAGCCUUUAUUUUAUGACAUGCUAGAUUGAGUUACAUAGAACAAGAUCGAAAGAAUAUAUUGACAAAGGAAGAACAUCUAGGUUCAUUCUCCAAAAUUGAUAUGCUAAUAUGUGAAAAUUGUCUUGCUGAAAAAAUUAUGUAAACCUUUUGGGAAGGCUAAAAGAGAUAAAUUUUCCUUACAAUUAAUCCAUUAUGAUAUCUUUGGUCCAAUGAAUGUUAGGGAAAGGUAUGAUGCUUUAUAUUUCAUUGCAUUCAUUAAAAGUUUCUCACCUUUCAAUUAUGUCUAUUUGAUUCUCAUAAAUCCAAAACACUUGAAUAUUUCAAAAGAUAUAUAAAUAAAGUUGAGAAUCAAUUUGAUAAAAGUAUAAAGGCUUUAAAACCCGAUAGAGGUCAUGAAUAUUUGUCAAAAUAGUUUGAAAAAUUAUGUACUAAAAAGGACAUUAUCAGACAGUUAACUACUCCUUUACACCUCAGCAAAAUGAUGUAAUUGAAAGAAGUAGAACAAUGUUGUAUAUGCAAGGUCUAUGACAGUACAGACAAAAUUAUUAAUCUCCUUUUGAGGAGGAUGUGUUAUUAGAUGCGGCCUACAUAAUGAAUAAGUAUCUUCUAAAUCAAUAUCGCCUACUCCUUAUGAACUAUGGACUAUUCAUAAGCCAAACCUUAAUGAUCUACGCCUUGGGAUUGUGUUGCAUAUAUUAAAAAUGAUUUUAAUGAGUUUGGUAAACUAAGUCCAAAAUGAAAGAAAUGUAUCUUUUUAAGUUACUUAGAACACUCCAAAGGAUAUGUGUAUAUUAGUGAAUUGGAGGACGAAAGUACUACUGAUAUUGAAUCUUGAGAUGUCACAUUUUUGAAAAAUAAUUUUCCCAAAAAGGGUGGAAUAAAUUAUAGUCUCUUUACAAAAUACUAAAAACUCAAAUAAUCAGAUAAUGUCGUUGGACGUAUUUUAUAAUCCAAUAGAUCAAAAAAUAGUUCCUGAUCCAAGUGGGAGUUUUAAAUUCCAAAAUACUAUGGAGGAAUGUGAACUUUAAUUACGUAAGAGUACUAGAAAAGGAGUACCUAAAUAAUCUUAUUAGAUUGAGGAUUAUGUUUUCUUGGUAUAUCCUACAUAAUUGGAUGAAACUAAUUUUUUAAUUGAAGCUUCAAGCCCUGAAAAAAAUUUCACGACCCGAACUAGGGCCUGGCCGUGACGGACAUCCCGAACCAUGAAGGCCGAGAUGUCCUAAUCUAUCUGAUCUAGUAAUCAUGCACAACAUUCAUAUAAUAAAAGAAAAUGCGGAAUUAUAAUCUAAUACGAAAACAUGGUCAUACUCUGGAUUCAGUUUAACAAUAAGGAAUGAAAUCCGAAAGCAACUAAACCACAUCUGGAACAGUCUGCGAAAUCUCCACUACAUGAUUUGAAGACAAGUGUCUGAAAAGUUAGGACAAGGCCCCAGUAGACCAAAAUAAAGGAAUAACAUAAUAUGAAAUAACAGUCCUUCUGGAACAAAGAAGGCUCACCACUGUACGGAUCAUUUCUUUUUGGAUAAUCUACUAAUUAGCCGGGUCUCUAGACUGAGCCUCCAAACCUGGGAGGUAGGGCUCAAUACAAUUGUACUGGUACGCAGAGCAAAUCCAAAAUAAUAAUUUAUAUUCAAUAUAUAUGAGAGCAAUUUAAAAUAGUUUAUAAAAAUAUCAUAUGGUAAGGAAUCACAUGGACAUUUUCAAAAGAUUUUGUAAAAUCAUCUGAACUCUGUGACACUCUUUAUUUUAUUUCUGCGCUAGGUGGUAUACCCUACAACUCUGAAAUUCCACGGGCUAUAUGAAAUCCGUCAUUGACUCGCCCUACAACCCAAGUGUGCCGCAAGGGUUACUUGAACUCAAGCCUUUUUCAGGUAACCACCUAACCCCCUUUAAGCCAAUUUUUAACUCUUUAAAACAUGCAUUCUCUGAAAACAUACUUUGUUAUGGCAUACAUACAUAUGGUAUCGUCAUACCAUUGACUUGCAAGUCACAUCUCUGAUCCAUUAUUAGCAUAUUACAAUCUCUAUUUUCAAAACAUAAAUUUGGGACCACCCUAUCAAUAAAUCAUUUCAAAGAACUCUUUCUCUAAAACUCGUGUAAACACAUGUAUGCAACUCUCUUUGUCAAACUUUCAAUGAUGCAAGGUGGCCAUGUCAAAACUCUUAAUCUCAUGCAAAUCUUUCUCUUUUAACAAAAUAUAUUUACAUCAAGAAACUUCCUCUCUUAAAUCUCUAAAUCAUGCUCAAAAUACUAUGGUAUUUGAGUAAACUAUUUUCAAGCCAAAAAUCAUGCAUUUCAAAUCAUUCUCAACCGUUUCAUAAACUCUAAAUCACCAAAGAGAGAGAUUUCAAUGAUAAUGCCCUCAAUCAAAUUUUUAAUAUCAUACAUAUACAUAUAGAUGUAAAUCAAUUUAGGGGGAAAGGCCUAAAGAUCAAAUCACAAUAAAAUUAAACAUUCAUCAAGCAUAAUAAAGUCAUGUUUUCCAAAACCCUUUUGUAAAUUCAUUCUUGAUAGAUCUUUAAAUCAUACUUGAAUAUUUCAACAAGUCCAUGUAGUUUUAGGAUAAACCCCACGUAUCUUAAUUUAUGACUCUUGAAUGAACUCAUGUUUUAGGAAUACUAUUUAAACAAUUGAUGGGUGCUUCUUGUAGCCCUCGCAAUGGGAAUUCCGAAUCUUGAAGAAUUAUUGAAAACCCACGAUGAAAUCUUAAGAUAUUUUGAUCUUUGGGUUGAUACCCUAAGAAGUGUUCUUGGUGAUUUUGAGAGAAUAACCUUAUUUUGGUGUUUGGGGGAUUUAAUCCCGUGUUAUGGCUGAAUAGGGGGUGGAAAAUACCAUUUUUGUCCUUAAAAAUGUGAAAACAGGACCUAAAAAUUGGAUGCAGGUGACAGGACGUGCAUCACACGCUAAUCGCGCGAUGUUACUAUCUUAGUCACGAAAAUGGCCAUAACUUUUCGCUCGGGUAUCAAAUUUUAGCGAAAUUGGUAUCGUUGGAAAGAUAAUUCGAAGUGAUUUCAUUUUAUAUAUAGUAGGACCUUCAAUUAUUUAUAUACAAAUAGUUAUAGUCGAUUGAAUUUGACCUAAGUUUUGACGCUCACUCAAACUCGAACGAUAGGAAAGCUUUCAACUCGUCCUUGAGUUAGAGGACCUCUAUGAUCUCAAUCCAUGCUCAAAUAGGUUUUCAAACUACAUAAUUGAUUAACAUGCCAAAUUUGCAUAGGAUUUAUGGCUUUCUAAUCAUCUACGCAUAGAAAUGAUGAUUUUCAUUCUAGCCCGAAAUGGGGGGUGUUACAAAGAUGAAUGGAUAAAGCAAUGAAAUAAGAAUUAGAGUACAUGAAAACUAACAAAGUAUGGAAUCUAAUUGACCUUCCUCAUAGACUUAGAGCUAUUGGAAAAAAAUAAAUUCUUAAUUAACGCAAAUUAGAUUGGUCAAUUAAAAAAUACAAAGCAUGAUUGAUAGCAAAAGGUUUUACUCAAGAAGCUGAAACAGAUUAUGAGGAAAGUUUUUCACAAGUUGUGAAGUUCACCUCAAUUUGCUUACUUUUGGCUAUUGUUGUACGUUUGAAUUUAGAAUUAUAUCAAAUGAACGUGAAGACUAUUUUUCUCAAUGAAAAGCUAAGCGAAGAAAUCUACUUGAAACAACCUAUAGGUUUCGUUGUUUAAGGCCGAGAAAAGAAAGUAAAUUGAAUAGAUCAAUUUAUGGUCUAAAGCAGUUUUCAAAGCAAUGAUACCUGACAUUUCACAAGGAAGUAAUUUUAUUUGAUUUUACCAUGAUCGAUGAAGAUCAUCGUGUCUAUGUGAAAAAGUCAAAUUGAAUGUUUGUAAUUCUUUCCUUAUACGUGGAUGAUAUUUUAUUGGCCAAAAAUAGUUUCAAGUAUGUGAAAACUAUUAAGUUGUGUCUGUCAAGGCCAUUUGACAUGAAAGACAUGAGUGAAGUUGACUAUAUAUUGGGUGUUAAAAUUCAGAGGGAUCAUUCCAAGAAGAUUUUGAGUCUAUCCCAAAAAACAUACAUAAAGAAAUGUUUUGAACGUUUUUGAAUAAAUAGUUGUAAACCUAUCGAUACUCCUACAGAAAGAGGUGAAAUUUUAAACCUUGAAAUGACCCAAAGAUUGAAAAAGAAAAGAAAGAUAGGUCCUGAGUUUCAUAUUCAGUGUUGUUAGGAGCUUGAUGUACGUUAUGAUAUGUAUUCGCCCAUAUAUUUGUUAUGUCACAGAUUUAGUUAGCAGGUAUCAAUCCAAUACUAAAAGAGAUAAUUGGAAAGCAGUAAAGAGAAUUUUCUGAUAGCUAAAGGAAACUGCAGAUUAUUCACUAUACUAUAGUGGAUAUGAAGAGGUUAUACAGAUGUUGAUUGGAUUAGUGAUAGGUAUGUUAGAAAAAACGAUCUUCAGUUAUGCUUUCAUAAUGGUGGUGCUAUUUCGUGAAAUAGUAAGAAACAAACUUGCAUAGCUCUUUCCUUAAUUUGUGGCUUGUGCAUCUGCAGUAAAAAAAAGUUAUUUGAUUGAAGAGAAUCUUUAAGCAUUUAAAUAUUACAAAUAAUGUUUGAAAAACAUGUAAUGGCUCCAGUUUUGUGUAGGCUAUAAUAAGAUUUCUAUAUUGUAAAAUGUCUUGGUUGUUAUAACAUUCUAAUCAUUAAAAGACACUUGAAUUUAUGUUCAUAUCUUUAUGCAUGUGAUAAUGUGUUUUUAUUGAAAAAAUAUGUCGAACAAAUCACGAUAUUGACUCUCUCACAUGAGCAAUCGUCUCCUAUGUUGAGAACAAGAAGAUAUGAGUUCCACCACCAUGUUAUGACUUAUUUUGCAAGCUAGCAACGAGUCACUAAGAAGAUGAGUUUGAGGAUCAUUAAAGAGAGAACUCGGGUCAGAAAUCUAGAUGUGUCUAGACCAAGAUUUAUACUAUGUUAAAUAACUAAAAGAAUGAGACUAGAACACUAAUAUAAGGAGAGAACAUCGUAGCACGUGUUUCAUACCACGUGUGCUUAGCGAUCAAUGGACAAAUAAAAGAAUGGUUCCUUUCUUCUUCAUUGUGUGAGAUCCUAAAAUUUACAUUAACUUUUAUUUCUUGUUUUUUGUAAUUAAAGUAUUUCAUUAAUACCAAUACAACAACAUUACAAAACUAAAUAGGCCUGAAUCCUGUUUCUCACUAUCCCUAUUAAUUAUAUCAACAAUACAGGAUUAGAUAAAUUUCAAAACUAAAGCUAUAUAAUUAUAUAAACCAUUAAACAGACUCCACUACCAGCUUCCUUAGUGUAUGUGUCAAGGAAUGUGAUUUAAGAUCUACAAGCAAGGUUGCCCACUUCUUCAAACUUGCACCUCUAGUGUGGAUGCAGAUGGUUAUCUUCCUAGUUAGUCUCUCUAGCUAAAAAUGACCCCCUGAAAGCGCAUCAAAUUUCCUUCUCUCCAAAUUACUAUAACUACCAUUGCAAAAGCACGGCUGAAGAUACCACAUUGUUUGGAUUUUUCUUAGCCCAGAAUAUUGCCCUAACUACUUCAUCUUGCUGACUUCCCACUGUCAUUCUUUCACCCAUCCAGUGUAGCAAUCUGCUCCACAAACUCCUAGUAAUUUUACCUGAAGAAAAAAGUUCCAAUGUUUCCUCAAGGUCUUCAUAGAAAAUGCAAGCUCCAGGAACUUUAUACCAACUUUCUGCAAUCUUACUAAAGUAGGCAAUCUUUUAUGCAAAGCCAGCCACAAACAAAACUUAUGUUGAGGAUGAAUGGCUGGGUGAGUGGUGAAUUUCCUCCAUUACAUCUUUGGAAAGAGGGGUCUGAGAGUGAUAUACAUCUUCUUAAUGCUGAAUUUAUUACCAUGUACCAUCAUUUGUAAUUUGUUGCAUAAACCACUAUGCAGAGACUGGCUAGUCAUGAUGAACCUUCUUGACUUUAUAAUCUUCCUAAUUAUCCAAGUUGCAUUACUCAGAUUAAGCAAAUUUCAACCGCCUCACUCUCUAUAUAGUAGAUGUGGAUCCAUUUCACCCACAAGCAAUCUUUCUUUAUUUGAAGAGCCCAUAGUUGUUUAAGUAUUGCAACCCUAUUCUAAGUACACAGUUAGAAGACAUUCAAACCAGAUGCUCCUCUAGAUUGACAUACUUUUCCUAAUAAACCAAUGCUCUCUUGGAGUUUGCCACAUAUUCAGUCUAUAACUAGGUCUUGUACACUUGUUCUAUCAGUUUCAUGAUCUUUUUGUGAAGAAUGAACAUUUAAGCGCAAUAUGUUUGCAUUCCAAAAGCUAUAGACUUUAUAAGUUGUAACCACCCAACAUAAUUUAGUAAUUUGGUUGUCCAGCACUUCACUCUCUCGGUAAUCUUGUCCACCACAGGCAUGCAUUGACUUAUAAUAAGUUCUUUUAUUAUGAAAGCACUCCCAAAUAUUUAAAAGGUAAUGAUCCUUCAUUGUAUUCCAACAACCCGAGAAUAUCUUGCUUUACAUUAGGCUUAAUACCCAAGAAGUAAAUUGAGCUCUUUUGACAACUUGCUUGUAAACCAAAAGCCUCUGAGAAUUUCUCAAUAGCUUGUUUUAUAUAGAGCUAACUGCUUUUCUGUCUUGCAAAACAUUAAGAGGUCAUCAACAAUAAAUAUGUAUCAAUUUCAGCCUUCUCCGCCUUGGAUAAAACUAAAAAAAGGGUUGUUUGCCAUCACUGUUAUCACUCUAUUCAAAUAUUCCAUGGCUAGGACAAAAAGAUAGGGUGAUAUAGGAUCACCCUGUUUAAUGCCUCUUUUACCCUGAAAAGGUUCUCUUAGGCUACCAUUAAUCAUUGAGUAAGUAACAGAAGAAACACACUCUAUCACCCCAAUUUAUGAACUUAAUUGGAAGCCUAAAUCUGCAAGAACACACCUUAAGAAAUCUCAUUUUAUAGAAACACACGCUUUUUGGAGAUCAACAUUUAUAACACACUUAGAGGGCAUGUAUCUCCUUGUGUACCAUUUUAAAAUAUCAUGACUAAUUAACACAUUAUCCAUAAAACUUUUUCCUUUAAUAAAAGUUGAUUGGGAAGGGCUCACUAUUGAACCAACUCCACUCUUAUGCCUAUUAGUUAAGAUCUUAGUAAUGAUCUUAUACAUAGUGGUGCAACAUGCUAUGGGUCUAUACUUCUUUACAAUAGUAGGAUUAGGCACUUUUGGAAUAAGGGAAAUGGCAGUACUACGAAAAGACUUGAACAUGUUACCUUUCCAAAAAAACUCUUCACUGCAUUACAAAUAAAAGGCUGCACUGUUGACCAUUGUUGGUUGAAGAAUUCUAUAGGAUAACCGUCUAUUCCAGGAGCCUUUUCUAAAAGUAUCCCUUUGACAGUAUCUAGUAUCUCCUGGUUAGUUACUACUUGAAUUGGUGAGCAUGUUUGGUCAUAGGUAGAUAAUGACCACUCUUUAUAACAUCAACAUCUGGAUAAGGCAACACUGCUGUUGAGGUGCCCAUAAGGUUUUGAAGCCUACAAUGAACUUUUCUCCAUCUCCUCUGGUUCAAUGAGCAUUAUACCACCCUCAGUAUAUAUGGAAUUUAUACAUUUUCUGCUUGAUCUAAUCUUCAGUUGGGCAUGUAAAUAUUUUGUGUUUGAAUCACCACUGGUGAUCCAUGUGACCCUUUUUUGGCGUAAGAAUAUGUUUCUCAAUAAAACUCCACUUAGUGAUCUCUUGCAAUAUGUUUUUUCAUCUUCAAUUAGAGUCUGAUCUUGAGGCCUGCUGCUCAUCUGAGACUUAAUAGCAUCUAACUGUACUUUAGCCUGCUGGAACCUUUGAGAAUAGAAAGCUAAGUAAGUAUUCAACCCCUUCAGUUCUUACUUCAAAGUUCUUACUAAUCUGUUAAUUUCGUAUUUCACUAGACCCUGAAAAUUAACACGGUUCAUCAUAGUUGAGUACAAUUUAAAAGGAUUUGGUUUCAUAUUUGUAACUGGUCUAUGUUCCAGCACAAUUAGAGAGUGAUCAGGGAUCCAGGAUUAAGAAACUCUAUCUCAACAUGCCCAUAAAUUUGUAGCCAGUAUAUGUUUCCAAAGGACCGGUCUAUUUUUAACUCUAGAGCCCUGGUCCUACUUAUUACAGAAAGUAAAAAAACAAUUCUUAUUCAUUAGAGCAGUAAGUUGACGUUCAUCCACCCAUUCCUGGAACUCCUAAGUUUCAGGUAGGAUCAAACCAGAUCCAAACCUAUUUUCAGAACUAAGUACAACAUUAAAAUCUCCACUUAGGAUCCAGGGUUAAUGUUCCUUCGCAACUAAAUCAAGUCAUUUCACAAUGAUCUCCUAUUAUGCGCCUCAUUCUUUGCGUAAACAACAGUAAAAAGAAAAGGAAAAAAAGAAGAGAUCACCCUACAAUAUAUAAACAGUUCACUAAUCUAUAAAAGUGCACUUGAACUUGGGGCUUACACAUAAGCCAAAUGCUGCAAUUAGAUGAGAUACUUAGAUUUCGUAGUCCAACCCUGAGACACCUUAUUUACCAUAACAGUUGCUUUAUAUUCCUUUCCUCUAGUUCCAAGACAUUCAAAAACCUCCACUUUAUACUUAUUCAAAAGAGUCAGACCUAUUUUUGCUUUUAGGGCUGAUUUAAGCCCCUAAUGUUCCAUAUGGAUAUGAUCAUGGAGGGUAAUGUGACCCCCCGGAUCAGUGAUCAAUCCAGAUUCACAUGUCCCCUCAAAUACCAUCUCUCGUAAGCAUUCAUAUUUUAUCAACGUUACACUCUUUUGUUUCAAUCUGGACUGGUUUUCAUCUGAUUCAAUCACCCGUGAGGCACCUUGCACAUUUGAAUCCAUUACUGGUGGUGAUUCCUCCUUAGGUGGUGGUAUGUAAACUUUAGCUGCAUUUUUAGCUUUUUCUCUGUACGUUUAAUGCAGUCUUGGUGUGUAACUCUUUUAUUACCCCUACGCUCUCUGUUACAGUUUCUUCUUCGAGGGGCCUCUUGAAAGUCUUUAGUUGUUGUUGCUUCUUCUUUAUUCUACACUUAUCUUCUUCAUGCCCAAAGUGCAUACAAUGAUGAAAAACCUUUGCCCUCCACUCAUAAUCUACAAAUUGCGUAUAAUUUCCAUCGGAUGAAGCACUUUCAACUGAUUCCACUAAAAGCUGAUCUAUAUCCACCUCUACUAAAUUUGAGCAUAAGAUAUUCUUUCUAUUAUUUCAGUAACCUUAUCCGAGUACAAUGGAUCCCCUAUUGCACUCGUGAUUUUACUUAGUGCUCAACUGGACCAGUAACCCACAGGCAGAAUCGGCAACGUGACCCAGAUGGGAAUGGUUGUAAUGCAAUUCGGGUUAAAUUCAAAGUUAAUUGUCCAAGAUUGAACCAUAAUUGGUUUAUUAUGAUAAGUAUAAGGACCUCUCGUAAACACCUUAUCGUGGUUCUUCUUCGAUUCAAAUUGAAGAUGAAAUACCCAUCGUCAUGAGCUAAGACUUAUGUCUUCUUAGCAAAUCACCAAACAUUCGCAAUAUACAGCUCCAUUCUCCUCAGAUAUGGGGCAUCCCCCAUUACAUAGCCAAUUAUCGAAGUUUCCAGUUCUUCACUCGAGACUUAAGAUCAGCUUCAUCAAGUAUUACUAUACAUUUUCCUCAACUUAUAUUAGGGGCAACAUAUGCAAAGGAUUUCCUCCUUUAUGGUUGUAGAUUAUCCUACAAUUUAGGCUUCUCUUUCUAGGUCUAAUUUGUUGUUGUCGCUAUAGAAAAUUAUAGAUGUCGAGCCGCCAAGGUUGUACUAAUUUCCACAAAAAUUCACCAGUUGAAUAGAAUCUGCUGAGGUUUUUUUAUGUUCCCUCUCCCUCCUAUGGGAUCACGCAGAAUUGCGGAGGGAGAUAAGUAUCACAAGUAAUAGGCGAACUUCAUGAUCUAUGUACGUCGACCGACGUUUUUUUUGCCAGUAUAUUUGCUGAGCUAAGAUCCAUUUUCUUGGGAUCAGUGCACGUUAGCAAACCAUGCUAAAAUACACCGAGAGAGCAAAUAUGGCUCCCAUAAAUGGGGUCUUAAAGUUGAUGUCCAUUUGACCUUUGGUUGUUU
RNAcentral lists this long non-coding RNA (36187 nucleotides) under Capsicum annuum. RNAcentral's name for it is "long non-coding RNA (CANN_LNC012349)". Lineage: Eukaryota; Viridiplantae; Streptophyta; Magnoliopsida; Solanales; Solanaceae. The record is from RNAcentral.